UGGAUUAAGGUGUAAUUUACUGCAUCCAC
Molecule: non-coding RNA, 29 nt
Filed under: Rattus norvegicus (Norway rat)
Lineage: Eukaryota; Metazoa; Chordata; Mammalia; Rodentia; Muridae
Source: RNAcentral